This 497-nucleotide ribosomal RNA is filed under the name uncultured bacterium. RNAcentral's name for it is "bacterial SSU rRNA". It matches the Rfam family "Bacterial small subunit ribosomal RNA", at positions 791 to 1280 of the family's 1533-position model. The record is from RNAcentral.
UAGUCCUAGCAGUAAACGGUGCACGUUUGGUUUGGGGGGAUUCGACCCCUUCCGAGCCGGAGCUAACGCGUUAAACGUGCCGCCUGGGGAGUACGGUCGCAAGAUUAAAACUCAAAGAAAUUGACGGGGACCCGCACAAGCGGUGGAGUAUGUGGCUUAAUUCGAUGCAACGCGAAGAACCUUACCUGGGCUUGACAUGCAUUUCUAAGCACGUGAAAGCGUGUGAGUCUGCUUCGGUAGAUAACUUGCACAGGUGCUGCAUGGCUGUCGUCAACUCGUGCCGUGAGGUGUUGGGUUAAGUCCCGCAACGAGCGCAACCCCUAUUUUCAGUUGCCAGUAUGUAAUGAUGGGGACUCUGGAAAGACUGCCGGCGUAAGCCGCGAGGAAGGUGGGGAUGACGUCAAAUCAUCAUGGCCUUUAUGCCUAGGGGCUACACACGUGCUACAAUGGCGGGUACAGAGGGUCGCGAAGCCGCGAGGUGGAGCCAAUCCCAGAAA